This 334-nucleotide unclassified non-coding RNA is filed under the name soil metagenome. RNAcentral's name for it is "partial contains 5.8S ribosomal RNA, internal transcribed spacer 2, and large subunit ribosomal RNA". The stretch from base 1 to 120 matches the Rfam family "5.8S ribosomal RNA", at positions 35 to 154 of the family's 154-position model. The record is from RNAcentral.
GAUGAAGAACGCAGCGAAAUGCGAUAAGUAGUGUGAAUUGCAGAAUUCAGUGAAUCAUCGAAUCUUUGAACGCACAUUGCGCCCCUUGGUAUUCCAUGGGGCAUGCCUGUUCGAGCGUCAUUUGUACCUUCAAGCUUUGCUUGGUGUUGGGUGUUUGUCUCGCCUUUGCGUGUAGACUCGCCUUAAAAUAAUUGGCAGCCGGCGUAUUGAUUUCGGAGCGCAGUACAUCUCGCGCUUUGCACUCAUAACGACAGCGUCCAAAAGUACAUUUUACACUCUUGACCUCGGAUCAGGUAGGGAUACCCGCUGAACUUAAGCAUAUCAAUAAGCGGGA